RNAcentral lists this transfer RNA (94 nucleotides) under Fidelibacterota bacterium. RNAcentral's name for it is "tRNA-Sec". It matches the Rfam family "Selenocysteine transfer RNA". Lineage: Bacteria; Pseudomonadati; Fidelibacterota. The record is from RNAcentral.
GGGAAUGAUUAGGAGGCUGGUGCCCCUCGCGGUCUUCAACACCGUUGUCCCCGUGAAGAGCGGGGAGUUGGGUUCGAUUCCCAAGCGUUCCCGC